ACCCCGUACAACCCAAACUGUUAACCUUCAAUACUGCUUUGUACUUACGAUCUUGUAUCCACUGACUGUCUUGUUAGAUUAACCCAAUAAAUUUCAUUCACUCCGCAUACUCAAUCCUAUAGACACCCUUUAAUCCUUCAAUCACAGACGUAACUCGAUUUCACAAAACAGUCAAGAGUAUUCAAACCCACUUCAUUUAAAAAUCCCGAUUCACCAUUACAACAUUGACUUCAGCAGCGAUUGCCUCAGUCUUCCCCAAAACUCUACGAAGAAGAAAAAUCCAAAU
Molecule: long non-coding RNA, 286 nt
Filed under: Physcomitrium patens
Lineage: Eukaryota; Viridiplantae; Streptophyta; Bryopsida; Funariales; Funariaceae
Description: long non-coding RNA (PPAT_LNC002429)
Source: RNAcentral